RNAcentral lists this ribosomal RNA (1341 nucleotides) under uncultured bacterium. RNAcentral's name for it is "16S ribosomal RNA". It matches the Rfam family "Bacterial small subunit ribosomal RNA", at positions 28 to 1381 of the family's 1533-position model. The record is from RNAcentral.
GACGAACGCUGGCGGCGUGCUUAACACAUGCAAGUCGAACGGUAAGGCUCCAGCUUGCUGGGGUACACGAGUGGCGAACGGGUGAGUAACACGUGGGUGACCUGCCCUGCACUUCGGGAUAAGCCUGGGAAACUGGGUCUAAUACCGGAUAGGACCGCACCGUGAGGGUGUGGUGGAAAGUUUUUUCGGUGUGGGAUGGGCCCGCGGCCUAUCAGCUUGUUGGUGGGGUAGUGGCCUACCAAGGCGGCGACGGGUAGCCGGCCUGAGAGGGUGGACGGCCACAUUGGGACUGAGACACGGCCCAGACUCCUACGGGAGGCAGCAGUGGGGAAUAUUGCACAAUGGGCGGAAGCCUGAUGCAGCGACGCCGCGUGGGGGAUGACGGCCUUCGGGUUGUAAACUCCUUUCACCAUCGACGAAGGGUUUCUGACGGUAGAUGGAGAAGAAGCACCGGCUAACUACGUGCCAGCAGCCGCGGUAAUACGUAGGGUGCGAGCGUUGUCCGGAAUUACUGGGCGUAAAGAGCUCGUAGGUGGUUUGUCGCGUCGUCUGUGAAAUUCCGGGGCUUAACUCCGGGCGUGCAGGCGAUACGGGCAUAACUUGAGUACUGUAGGGGAGACUGGAAUUCCUGGUGUAGCGGUGAAAUGCGCAGAUAUCAGGAGGAACACCGGUGGCGAAGGCGGGUCUCUGGGCAGUAACUGACGCUGAGGAGCGAAAGCAUGGGGAGCGAACAGGAUUAGAUACCCUGGUAGUCCAUGCCGUAAACGGUGGGCGCUAGGUGUGGGUUUCCUUCCACGGGAUCCGUGCCGUAGCUAACGCAUUAAGCGCCCCGCCUGGGGAGUACGGCCGCAAGGCUAAAACUCAAAGGAAUUGACGGGGGCCCGCACAAGCGGCGGAGCAUGUGGAUUAAUUCGAUGCAACGCGAAGAACCUUACCUGGGCUUGACAUAUACAGGAUCGCGCCAGAGAUGGUGUUUCCCUUGUGGCUUGUAUACAGGUGGUGCAUGGUUGUCGUCAGCUCGUGUCGUGAGAUGUUGGGUUAAGUCCCGCAACGAGCGCAACCCUUGUCUUAUGUUGCCAGCACGUUGUGGUGGGGACUCGUAAGAAACUGCCGGGGUUAACUCGGAGGAAGGUGGGGAUGACGUCAAAUCAUCAUGCCCCUUAUGUCCAGGGCUUCACACAUGCUACAAUGGUCGGUACAGUGGGUUGCCAGUCCGUGAGGGCGAGCUAAUCCCGCAAAGCCGGUCUCAGUUCGGAUCGGGGUCUGCAACUCGACCCCGUGAAGUCGGAGUCGCUAGUAAUCGCAGAUCAGCAACGCUGCGGUGAAUACGUUCCCGGGCCU